CCGCUGAAAUGACGGCAUUGGAUCCAGUUUCUUAAGGACUUAACAGAGUUGGGGAAUUAGCUGCAAACCGCCAACAUGCCGUCCAAGCCUGCCCCCAUCAAGAAGGCGGCCAAGAAGGAGCCAGCCAAGAAGGAGGAGAAGGCUGCGGAGCCGGCUCCUGCGGCCCCAGAGCCCGCUGCUGCUGAGCCAGCCCCGGCUGAAGCAGCUCCGGCUGAAGCUGCUCCGGCUGAAGUGGCCCCUGCUGCCGAGGGAGAGGCUGCUGCUGCUCCGGCAGCUGAGGAGCCACCCAAAGAUGCUGCCGCUCCCGCUACAGAGGAAGGUGCCCCAGCUGAGGCCCCUGCUGAUGCUGCUGCUGCCGCUCCAGCCGCAGAAGAAGGUGCUCCCGCUGCUGACUCCGAAGCGCCCGCUGAUGCUGAAGCUGCCGAAGCCGCUGCACCAGAGGAGCCUAAACCACCCACCCCUCCACCACCUCCACCUCCAGAGCCCACAAGUGUCCCGUUGGAACUGUUCGUUGAGGAUAAGAACGACACCUCAGUCAGCAUCAUCUGGAGCCAGCCGGAGGUCGUCGGCGCGUCCGGUCUGGAUGGAUACACCAUUGAAAUUUGCAAGGACGGAACCGAGGACUGGAAAGCAGUCAACGAGGAGCUGCAUAAGUCCACCCGCUACGUGAUCAAGAACCAGACCACCGGUGACCGUCUGAAGAUCCGCGUGGUGGCUGUGAACGCCGGCGGCCGCAGCACCCCCCUCGCCCUCGCCGAGGCUGUCCUGGUGAAGGAGGUCGCCGAUCGUCCCAAGGUCCGCCUGCCACGUUUCCUCAGGCAGAGAUACGUCGCUUACGUUGGAGAUAAGAUCAACCUGACCAUCCCCUUCACAGGUAAACCCAAACCUGUGGUCUCCUGGUUAAAGAACGGAGAGCCCGUGGACACAAAGAGGGUGAACAUCCGCAGCACCGACAAAGACAGCAUCCUGUUUAUCCGUACGUCCGAGAGAGAUGACUCUGGCGUGUACGAGAUGUGUGUAAAGGUGGAGGACUUCGACGACAAGGCUUCACUCAUCCUGCAAAUUGUUGAGCUGCCAGGACCUCCCGCCUCUGUGAAGAUUGUGGAUACCUGGGGCUUCAACGUUGCUCUGGAGUGGACUCCACCCAAAGACACCGGAAACACAGACAUCACUGGUUACACAGUCCAGAAGGCCGAUAAAAAGACUGGAGACUGGUUCACUGUGAUGGAGCACUACCAUAGACUGAAUGCCACCAUCUCUGACCUCAUCAUGGGCAAUACCUACAAGUUCAAAGUGUUUACUGAAAACAAGUGUGGAAUGAGCGAGGACGCUACUGUUGCAAAGGAUGAGGCCAAAAUCUUGAAGACGGGUAUCGAGUACAAGCCGCCAGAGUACCAUGAGCGCGACUUCACCGAGGCGCCCAAGUUCACCACCCCCAUGACUGACAGAGCCACCACCGUCGGCUACAACACCAAGCUGCUGUGCUCCGUCAGGGGAUGCCCAAAACCCAAGGUUAUAUGGAUGAAGAACCAGAUGAUUAUUGGAGACGACCCCAAGUACAGGCAGCUGUGCAUCCAGGGUAUCUGCUCUCUGGAGAUCCGUAAGCCCGGUAACUUUGACGGCGGUGUGUACUCCUGCAAAGCCAAGAACGAUCACGGAGAAGCAGUGGUCAGCUGCAAGCUGGAGGUCAAACAGCCGGCGGCGCCCGCAGAUGCAGAGAAGAAAUAAGUCAACAUUCACAUUCUCACAGGAGCAGAAGGAAUGAGGCCUUUGCAGCAUAAGGAAGGUGCUGGAUUCCUGGAAGAACAUGUAUAUAUGGCUGGUGACCACACUUCCGAAGGGUUGUUGCCUGUGACCUCUUGCCGAGUGUUACCCUGUGUUGUUAUGAUGAACAAUUGUUGUCGCUUUGUGCCUUUAUCGUUCACUACAUUAUUUAAGUCCAUAUCCAUGUCCACAACCAGCUUUUUCCACCAACGAUACUGUCUCUAUGGUAACUAACUUAUCAUCAUCUCAUCAGUCUAACUAGGUGCACACCAAGACUUCUGCAACAGGAUUUUACUGUUCCUCAUAGGAGAACUACAUGUAACAUCUACGUGUUUAUAUCAAUAAAUCAUUUUAUUUCUGGU
This is an RNA transcript of Sebastes umbrosus (honeycomb rockfish), 2126 nucleotides long. It is a transcript of the gene named myosin binding protein Hb, with no coding region annotated. The transcript is spliced from 15 exons. The record is from RefSeq and is a predicted model, not a curated record. NCBI's taxonomy places the organism in Eukaryota, Metazoa, Chordata, Actinopteri, Perciformes, Sebastidae.